RNAcentral lists this ribosomal RNA (431 nucleotides) under uncultured Paraglomus. RNAcentral's name for it is "eukaryotic LSU rRNA". It matches the Rfam family "Eukaryotic large subunit ribosomal RNA", at positions 1 to 428 of the family's 3401-position model. The record is from RNAcentral. Lineage: Eukaryota; Fungi; Glomeromycota; Glomeromycetes; Paraglomerales; Paraglomeraceae.
GGCCUCAAAUCAGACAAGAGUACCCGCUGAACUUAAGCAUGUCAAUAAGCGGAGGAAAAGAAACUAACAAGGAUUCCCCUAGUAACGGCGAGUGAAGCGGGAACAGCUCAAAUUUUAAAUCUGGCUGCUUUGUAGUCCGAGUUGUAAUUUGAAGGAGUCUUGCCGCUGGCAAAACGAUGGCACAAGUCCUCUGGAACGGGGCAUCGUAGAGGGUGAGAAUCCCGUCUCUGGUCAUCACGCGCUGGCAUACGGCAGGCAUCCGAAGAGUCGAGUUGUUUGGGAUUGCAGCUCCAAAUGGGUGGUAAACUCCAUCUAAGGCUAAAUAUUGGCGAGAGACCGAUAGCGAACAAGUACCGUGAGGGAAAGGUGAAAAGAACUUUGAAAAGAGAGUAAAACAGUACGUGAAAUUGUUGAAAGGGAAACGAUUGAAG